CAUGGUGGUAUAUGACUUCUAGUCUUCUCUUGAUUUGCAUAUUUUUAUGAUUUGAUUGUAAUCGUCAAAGGGUUCCUAGGGUUUUGAGUUUCGAUAGUUGAGUUUAAUUGUUAAAUUUUAUUUUUAUUUACUGAAUGUAUGUUAAAAAUUUUUGAAAUCUAUAUUAUACUAUAUCAUCGAAAUCUAAUAGUGGUAUCAAAGCCACCCU
Molecule: long non-coding RNA, 208 nt
Filed under: Elaeis guineensis (African oil palm)
Lineage: Eukaryota; Viridiplantae; Streptophyta; Magnoliopsida; Arecales; Arecaceae
Description: long non-coding RNA (EGUI_LNC046007)
Source: RNAcentral